Long non-coding RNA from Raphanus sativus (radish), 909 nucleotides. RefSeq lists it as uncharacterized. The record is from RefSeq and is a predicted model, not a curated record. NCBI's taxonomy places the organism in Eukaryota, Viridiplantae, Streptophyta, Magnoliopsida, Brassicales, Brassicaceae. The transcript has 3 exons.
AUUGUUAUAUCUACAUAAAUUUCAUGGUUGUCUUAAACGCAGAUGCAGAGGUUAAAAUGUACAAGAAAUUGAGCCAAGUAGCCAACGAGAUGGUCAAAGACGUUCAAAAUGAGCUUAAAUGAUUCUUAUAUCCCCGUUGAGCUCUAUGGCUGGGCCAAAGACGAGUCUGAUUACGGAUGGUACACAACAAAGGAGGCAAGCACACUGUUACAGUUGCUAGCCUUGGCCACGCGGUUCAUGUCUAGCUCAAUGGAGAAUACAUUGGAAAGGACAUGGUAGCCAUGAUGAGAAGAGCCGAUGGUCAUUAUCAGGAGCCUGCUUCGGUUACUUUCUCUGUGUUAAACACAUUACCAUGGCUGGCUCUCCUUCUUCAUUACACUAUACUAUAAGUUUCCUCUCAAACAAGAUAAGACGGGUUACUACGAAUACGAAUACGUCGGUUUGUGGCAUGUCCAUGGUUUACUGUCCAUGAACUCUUGGUUCUGGAGUGCAGUUUUCCACACUCGGUAAUCGUCUACACAUUACCGUUUGGAAACUGUGGGUGGUUAUGAAAGCUUCAGGCUUAGCUAUGCUUUUAGAGAUAUAUGACUUCCUUCAGUAUGAAGGCUACUUUGAUGCUCACUCUAUUUGGCACCUGGCCACAGUUCCUCUCCAUUCUCUGGUGGAUUUAUUAGAGACGAUGCUAAGUUCAGAAGUUCCAGUCUUCUAAGACAAAGGCGAAGUAAGUUUACUUAACGGAUGCAGAUGUUUCUUGAGCUUUUCCCAAAGUUUUUUAUCAGAGAUUUGUCUUGGCCUUGCUUUUGGUCAACUGAGUUUUUGAUAUUAGUUUUUCAUUCAUAAGCACGUUGUUGCCAAUCUUUUUGGAGUCUUAAGACUUCUGUUAAUAUUAUGAGAAAAUCUUGUGACCUA